UACGUAGGGACCAAGCGUUGUUCGGAUUUACUGGGCGUAAAGGGCGCGUAGGCGGCGUGUUAAGUCACUUGUGAAAUCUCUAAGCUUAACUUAGAACGGUCAAGUGAUACUGAUGUGCUAGAGUGCAGAAGGGGCAACCGGAAUUCUUGGUGUAGCGGUGAAAUGCGUAGAUAUCAAGAGGAACACCUGAGGUGAAGGCGAGUCCCUGGACAACUCCUGACACUGAGGCACGAAAGCUAGGGGAGCAAACAGG
RNAcentral lists this ribosomal RNA (253 nucleotides) under uncultured bacterium. RNAcentral's name for it is "partial 16S ribosomal RNA". It matches the Rfam family "Bacterial small subunit ribosomal RNA", at positions 524 to 776 of the family's 1533-position model. The record is from RNAcentral.